GUGCUCGCUUCGGCAGCACACACACUCCAAUUGGAACGAUCCAGAGAAGAUUAGCGUGGCCCCUGCGCAAGGAUGGCAUGGGAAUUCAUGAAGCGUUCCAUGUUUUU
Molecule: small nuclear RNA, 107 nt
Organism: Pteronotus mesoamericanus
Lineage: Eukaryota; Metazoa; Chordata; Mammalia; Chiroptera; Mormoopidae
Source: RefSeq, a predicted model, not a curated record